This 253-nucleotide ribosomal RNA is filed under the name uncultured bacterium. RNAcentral describes it as "partial 16S ribosomal RNA". It matches the Rfam family "Bacterial small subunit ribosomal RNA", at positions 524 to 776 of the family's 1533-position model. The record is from RNAcentral.
UACGAAGGGGGCUAGCGUUGUUCGGAAUUACUGGGCGUAAAGCGCGCGCAGGCGGCCUUUCAAGUCAGUGGUGAAAGCCCGGAGCUCAACUCCGGAACUGCCAUUGAAACUGUUUGGCUUGAGUACGAGAGAGGUGAGUGGAAUUCCCAGUGUAGAGGUGAAAUUCGUAGAUAUUGGGAAGAACACCGGUGGCGAAGGCGACUCGCUGGAUCUUUGCUGACGCUGAGACGCGAAAGCGUGGGGAGCAAACAGG